Molecule: ribosomal RNA, 872 nt
Filed under: Parmeliella triptophylla
Lineage: Eukaryota; Fungi; Ascomycota; Lecanoromycetes; Peltigerales; Pannariaceae
Description: LSU rRNA
Rfam family: Eukaryotic large subunit ribosomal RNA
Source: RNAcentral
AAAAGAAACCAACAGGGAUUGCCUCAGUAACGGCGAGUGAAGCGGCAACAGCUCAAAUUUGAAAUCCGGCCCCCCCCCGGGGCCCGAGUUGUAAUUUGCAGAGGGUGUUUCGGGCGCGGCGCGGGUCUAAGUUCCUUGGAACAGGACGUCGGAGAGGGUGAGAAUCCCGUACGCGACCCGCAACCGAGCCCGUGUGAAACCCCUUCGACGAGUCGAGUUGUUUGGGAAUGCAGCUCAAAAUGGGUGGUAAAUUUCAUCUAAAGCUAAAUACCGGCCAGAGACCGAUAGCGCACAAGUAGAGUGAUCGAAAGAUGAAAAGCACUUUGGAAAGAGAGUCAAACAGUACGUGAAAUUGUUGAAAGGGAAGCGCUUGCGGCCAGACCUGCCCCCGGGCGAUCAGCCGCUAUUCGUAGCGGUGCACUCGCCUCGGGAACAGGCCAGCAUCGGUUCGGGCGGCGGGAGAAAGUGCCCGGGAACGUAGCUUCCUCCGGGGAGUCUUAUAGCCCGGGCUGCCAUGCCGCCCGCCCGGACCGAGGACCGCGCCUUCGGCUAGGAUGCUGGCGUAAUGGCCGUAAGCGACCCGUCUUGAAACACGGACCAAGGAGUCUAACAUCCAUGCGAGUGUUUGGGUGUGAAACCCACGCGCGGAAUGAAAGUGAACGGAGGUGGGACCCCGGAAGGGUGCACCAUCGACCGAUCCAGAAGUCUUCGGAUGGAUUUGAGUACGAGCAUGGCUGUUGGGACCCGAAAGAUGGUGAACUAUGCGUGGAUAGGGUGAAGCCAGAGGAAACUCUGGUGGAGGCUCGCAGCGGUUCUGACGUGCAAAUCGAUCGUCAAAUCUGCGCAUAGGGGCGAAAGACUAAUCGAACCAU